AUUGAACGCCGGCGGCAGGCCUAACACAUGCAAGUCGAGCGGAUGAAGGGAGCUUGCUCCUGGAUUCAGCGGCGGACGGGUGAGUAAUGCCUAGGAAUCUGCCUGGUAGUGGGGGAUAACGUCCGGAAACGGGCGCUAAUACCGCAUACGUCCUGAGGGAGAAAGUGGGGGAUCUUCGGACCUCACGCUAUCAGAUGAGCCUAGGUCGGAUUAGCAAGUUGGUGGGGUAAAGGCCUACCAAGGCGACGAUCCGUAACUGGUCUGAGAGGAUGAUCAGUCACACUGGAACUGAGACACGGUCCAGACUCCUACGGGAGGCAGCAGUGGGGAAUAUUGGACAAUGGGCGAAAGCCUGAUCCAGCCAUGCCGCGUGUGUGAAGAAGGUCUUCGGAUUGUAAAGCACUUUAAGUUGGGAGGAAGGGCAGUAAGUUAAUACCUUGCUGUUUUGACGUUACCAACAGAAUAAGCACCGGCUAACUUCGUG
RNAcentral lists this ribosomal RNA (484 nucleotides) under uncultured bacterium. RNAcentral's name for it is "partial 16S ribosomal RNA". It matches the Rfam family "Bacterial small subunit ribosomal RNA", at positions 30 to 507 of the family's 1533-position model. The record is from RNAcentral.